GGUCCAUAGCUCAGUGGCAGAGCAUUUUCCUUGCAUCCAGAAGGUCCCAGGUUCAAUCCCUGGCAACUCCA
RNAcentral lists this transfer RNA (71 nucleotides) under Podarcis lilfordi (Lilford's wall lizard). RNAcentral describes it as "tRNA.Ala". Lineage: Eukaryota; Metazoa; Chordata; Lepidosauria; Squamata; Lacertidae. The record is from RNAcentral.